Molecule: ribosomal RNA, 254 nt
Filed under: uncultured bacterium
Lineage: Bacteria
Description: partial 16S ribosomal RNA
Rfam family: Bacterial small subunit ribosomal RNA
Source: RNAcentral
CACGUAGGGGGCGAGCGUUGUCCGGAUUUAUGGGGCGUAAAGAGCUCGUAGGCGGUUCGAUAAGUCGGGUGUGAAAACUCUGGGCUCAACUCAGAGACGCCACCCGAUACUGUUGUGACUUGAGUCCGGUAGGGGAGUAUGGAAUUCCCGGUGUAGCGGUGAAAUGCGCAGAUAUCGGGAGGAACACCAGUGGCGAAGGCGGUACUCUGGGCCGGAACUGACGCUGAGGAGCGAAAGCGUGGGUAGCGAACAGG